Molecule: long non-coding RNA, 3272 nt
Organism: Prosopis cineraria
Lineage: Eukaryota; Viridiplantae; Streptophyta; Magnoliopsida; Fabales; Fabaceae
Exons: 3
Source: RefSeq, a predicted model, not a curated record
UCCCACAAUCCUAUCGUCUUUCACCUGUCACAUUUCCACCACAAGCAGCCAUACUGUUAGUAUGCACGCAUCCAUCAACAUCCAUCCUAACAAAUCCUCUAUCUAGAAGCUGCCGUUUUUCAAUCGAUUUGUAGGGUUUUUUAUGCAUGUCAAUUUUCCUAAUCCAAUUAAGAUCAGUUUGAACUUUCAUGAAGCAUUUUCUCAUAUCCACCUUCGGUCUCGGUUCCUCUUCUCCAAAUAAGUUUGUACAUCUAUUUGCCGCCGUUGAGCUCAGAUGCCUCACCCCUCGUCAUGGUCUCUGUAACUCGAGCUUCUUGCCCUCUUCCUUCAUUUUGUUUCCUUGCUGGGUUUUCUCAUCGAAUCGAUGAAGCUCGGCCACCACCUUGCUUAUGCAAGCUCAAGUUUUCCUCUGCUUCAUCGCUUCUGUUUGGAUCUUGAGCUCAGUCUCCUCUCCUCUCAACGCCAGAUCGUGAGCGCCGUCGCCUCUAAUCUGCAUCUUUCCUCUAACCUUUUACAAAGCCGCUUCAUUUAUGUCCUCUCAAUGCCUCUCCUCUUCUUCAUUUCCUUUCAUUGCUACUCACUUGGCCGUAAAUAGCUUGGAUUAAUGAAAAGCAGCAGCUGAAACAUCAAAAGCUUAUAAAAGAGACUGGGGUAUCAUGUAAGCAGAAUCCAGGUGCUACAGAAGCAAUUAAUGUGCUCAUGAAGAAGAAAAGCCUUAUGGGAAUAGGGAUUAUGGUAUGCCCUGCAUUGAAUACACUGAAUUUGACAAGUUUAGAAUUGCUAAGUUGAAGAUGAUAUCACUUUUAAUUGUUGAUUUGUUUAAAUGGCAAAGUAUAUCAAAUCUAUUUUCUUCUUCGGGUCCACGCUUGCAGAAGGUCUUGGCAUGCCUGGGAUUGUAUCAAUAUUGUUCAUGGGAAUACUCAUGAAGCACUACACAUAUUCAAAUUUGCCCAGAGAUUCUUAAAGAUAUGUCUCUUCAUUUUUGGAUUUAAUAUCAACUUUGGCAAGGACAUUUGUCUAAGGAAGAUUCUAUCUGCUACAUUUUAUUCAAGCAGUUAAAUUCUUUUGUCUAAAGGAUGCAUUUAUGCGUUUAUGCAUUUACACCCAGGCAUCAGUGCCAGCCCAUUUCACUGGAAUAACAAAAUCAUAAGCUGCUAUAAAGCAGGUAAGGCCUACAGGAAUUCAAGAUUUACCCUGAAUCAUGAGCCCACAACCUAACCAAAUUAAGGCUAUCAUUGAAGAAUCUAACAAGGAACACUACCCUUGAGAAGCCAAGUAUUUUUCCGUUUUUUCAUUUGUCCCCUUACACUUCAUAUGUUUUCUUUUAACUCCUGGGAGAAAUGCCACUUCAUCAUAUAUGCAAACAAUACCAUUAUGUUUGUCUGAAAAUGUACUAGUAUCUGUUGCAUUCUUAGUUGUCAAUAUAGCUAUAUCAGACUGCAAGUUUUCCAGGACAUCUUUAUCCUCAACAUUUGUUUGCAUAUAGUAUAUAAAGCGAUAUCUCUUAACCUCACCAUGGGUUAGGAUUAUGAAAAGAACAGUUUUAAUGUUUGCUUAUGAUAAGGCAAUAUUACAUAAUACAUAUAAGAAUUAUUGUGGGGGUUAUUUUGGUAAAUUCGGAUUUCUUUGUUAUUAAGGAAAGGGAGUUUUAGUUACUUUUAAUUAAGAUGAAAAGGGAAGACAAUAAAAAUGGGCCACAAAGAAGAAAGAGGUUGUUACGGUAGUCAUUAGGAAACAUGCACACAUAAAUAGUAGAUGGAGAAAGAAACAAACUGUUGCUUUGUUCUGUGUUAUGAUCUUCCUCUUCUUUAGAUGGCAUGCGUUAAAGUCAGUUUAGAAGCGGUGUUUUUAUUUUCUAAUGAUUGCAAAAGUGAUAUACAUUUUAAUUGCAUACUUUUGGAGUUGGGAUAGAAUUUUUCUGAGCUUGUAUUUAACAUAUUGUGAAAUAAAUAAGUGUGAACUGGUUAGACACAUACACACAUAUAGAUGGGUCCUUUGUGAAAUCAGAUGCAGAAAGGCAAAGAGUUAUGUAGUAUCCUGAAACUGCAAUUGAGAAAUGAUUAUCUAAGAUCAACGACAUAUCACAUAUAUUAUUGCAUUUCAGAAGUGAUUGCCUGCUUUAGUGGAAAGAAGAGGCUUAGUUAUUUAAAAACUCAUGGGCUCCAUUGUUUUUAUGGAGGUAGAAGGCCUUGGGUGUGAUAAUUCUCUUGUGAUCAUACUUUUCAAUAAAAACAUAACAUCUGGACUAAAAUUGAAAAAUGCAUUUUUGAUUCCUUAAAAAAAAAAAAGUGCUGGGCAUCACGUAAUUCUGUUGCAAAAACCUAGUAUAUUGUAAGUGAGUUCAGUUUUGUCCUCUCUUAUUUCUCUAUUUGAUUAUGUUCUAUAAUUGUCACCUGUUUGUCCUUUGUUUGAUUCUAUUGUAUUCACAAACAUUGUAAAAAUUUUAAUCAGUUUUUCUAUGAACUGCGGCAGCAAAGUAUAGGAUAUAAAUUAAUAACUGAAUUACGGAGCAAAAACUCUUUGAAGGUCAUUUUCUCCAUACUCUUGCACACAAAUAUUAGCGCUGAAAGUAAUAAAUUAUGGUAUACUUUGACAGAGUGCACUGUUUUGUUUUUGCCCCAUCCAUUAAAGAACAAUGACUUUUGGCCAAGCAAAAAAAUUAAAGAACAAUAACUUGGAGCAAUAAAUUAAAUGAAAUGAAAAUAUGCAGAUGUAGCUAAAAAUUAAAGGUUAUAUUUUGUUCAAAUAUGGACCUUGGUAAUUUAUCCUGUUGCAGCAUGUUCCCUCUUUAAAAUAAAAAAUCUCUACAUUUCCCCUAUGGAAUUGCUUCUAUGUGAAUUUUUUAAAUACCCUCUUUUCAGAAAUAGACUAAUGAAAUAUCAUGUUAAUAUUGCUUUCCUAUGAGGAUUUAGUUAAUGGUCUUCCCGUAGUGCAUGUUCUCCACGUUCAAUGAUUCUUCUAGAAAGGAAGCAUGUCUCCCUUACAAGGCUAGACAAACAUGCACUUACCUUGGAUCAUUUAUUUUUGACUUCCACUUGUAUCUUACAUGUUUAGUUUGGUAUCAUUUAUUGUAUAAAAAUUUUUUAUUUAAAGCUUCCUUGUUCACUCUAGCACAAUUCCUCCUACUGUAUGAGAAAAAUCAAAUCCCAGUAGAGGCGUCUAAGAAUUUGAGAGCAACAAUUAAAUUCUGAAAGUCAUUUGAGGGGUUGAUGACCUCCUCCAACAAUGUCAACUUGUAUAAACUAUAUAAAUGAUGAUUAAUGGCUAUCUAU